This 377-nucleotide ribosomal RNA is filed under the name uncultured eukaryote. RNAcentral describes it as "partial 18S ribosomal RNA". It matches the Rfam family "Eukaryotic small subunit ribosomal RNA", at positions 592 to 976 of the family's 1831-position model. The record is from RNAcentral.
CAAUAGCGUAUAUUAAAGUUGUUGCAGUUAAAAAGCUCGUAGUUGGAUUUCGGGGCAGCCUGGCUGGUCCGCCGCAAGGCGAGUACUGGUCAGCAGCCCUUCCUCUCGAAAGCCCCGACUGCUCUUCGUUGCAGUGGUCGGGUAGUUCGGGACGUUUACUUUGAAAAAAUUAGAGUGUUCAAGGCAGGCCUACGCCUGAAUACAUUAGCAUGGAAUAAUGGAAGAGGACCUCGGUCCUAUUUUGUUGGUUUCCAGGGCCGAAGUAAUGAUUAAGAGGGACAGUUGGGGGCAUUCGUAUUUAAUUGUCAGAGGUGAAAUUCUCGGAUUUAUGAAAGACGAACAACUGCGAAAGCAUUUGCCAAGGAUGUUUUCAUUAA